AACGGCCGUACCAUGCUGAAUAUACCGGUUCUCGUUGGAUCACCGAAGUCAAGCAUCAUUGGGCGCGGUCAGUACUUGGGUGGGUGACCACCUGGGAAACACCGCGUGCCGU
This 112-nucleotide ribosomal RNA is filed under the name Caerostris darwini. Lineage: Eukaryota; Metazoa; Arthropoda; Arachnida; Araneae; Araneidae. The record is from RNAcentral.